Molecule: transfer RNA, 87 nt
Filed under: Thermoplasmata archaeon
Lineage: Archaea; Methanobacteriati; Thermoplasmatota; Thermoplasmata
Also listed under: 1 other name
Description: tRNA-Ser
Rfam family: tRNA
About the family: Transfer RNA (tRNA) molecules are approximately 80 nucleotides in length. Their secondary structure includes four short double-helical elements and three loops (D, anti-codon, and T loops). Further hydrogen bonds mediate the characteristic L-shaped molecular structure. tRNAs have two regions of fundamental functional importance: the anti-codon, which is responsible for specific mRNA codon recognition, and the 3' end, to which the tRNAs corresponding amino acid is attached (by aminoacyl-tRNA synthetases). tRNAs cope with the degeneracy of the genetic code in two manners: having more than one tRNA (with a specific anti-codon) for a particular amino acid; and 'wobble' base-pairing, i.e. permitting non-standard base-pairing at the 3rd anti-codon position.
Source: RNAcentral
GCGGGGUUAGCCCAGCCUGGCAAGGCGCAGGAUUGCUAAUCCUGUGGUGUUCUCACCUCGGGGGUUCAAAUCCCCCACCCCGCGCCA